AACGUAGGACACAAGCGUUAUCCGGAGUUACUGGGCGUAAGGGCGUUUAGGCGGGUGAUUAAGUUCGCUAUGAAAGCGCCGGGCUAAACUCGGCGAGGCUGGCGGAUACUGGUCAUCUGGAGUGAGUCAGAGGAAGGUAGAAUUCCGCGUGUAGUGGUGAAAUGCGUAGAGAUGCGGAGGAAUACCAGUGGCGAAGGCGGCCUUCUGGGACUCAACUGACGCUGAAGCGCGAAAGCAUGGGGAGCGAACGGG
RNAcentral lists this ribosomal RNA (252 nucleotides) under uncultured bacterium. RNAcentral's name for it is "partial 16S ribosomal RNA". It matches the Rfam family "Bacterial small subunit ribosomal RNA", at positions 524 to 776 of the family's 1533-position model. The record is from RNAcentral.